GACGUAGGGUGCAAGCGUUGUCCGGAUUUACUGGGCGUAAAGGGCGUGCAGGCGGUCUGUUAAGUCUAGGGUGAAAGCUCCCGGCUCAACUGGGAGAGGUCCUUGGAUACUGGCGGACUUGAGGGAGGCAGAGGAAAGUGGAAUUCCCGGUGUAGUGGUGAUAUGCGUAGAUAUCGGGAGGAACACCAGUGGCGAAGGCGGCUUUCUGGGCCUUACCUGACGCUGAGACGCGAAAGCGUGGGGAGCGAACCGG
Molecule: ribosomal RNA, 253 nt
Filed under: uncultured bacterium
Lineage: Bacteria
Description: partial 16S ribosomal RNA
Rfam family: Bacterial small subunit ribosomal RNA
Source: RNAcentral